This 253-nucleotide ribosomal RNA is filed under the name uncultured bacterium. RNAcentral's name for it is "partial 16S ribosomal RNA". It matches the Rfam family "Bacterial small subunit ribosomal RNA", at positions 524 to 776 of the family's 1533-position model. The record is from RNAcentral.
UACGGAGGGGGCUAGCGUUGUUCGGAAUUACUGGGCGUAAAGCGCGCGUAGGCGGACCUGCAAGUCGGGGGUGAAAGCCCGAGGCUCAACCUCGGAACUGCCUUCGAUACUGCGGGUCUCGAGUCCGGGAGAGGUGAGUGGAAUUCCUAGUGUAGAGGUGAAAUUCGUAGAUAUUAGGAAGAACACCAGUGGCGAAGGCGGCUAACUGGUCCAGAUCUGACGCUGAUGUGCGAAAGCGUGGGGAGCAAACAGG